RNAcentral lists this unclassified non-coding RNA (688 nucleotides) under Hevea brasiliensis (rubber tree). The record is from RNAcentral. Lineage: Eukaryota; Viridiplantae; Streptophyta; Magnoliopsida; Malpighiales; Euphorbiaceae.
GAAUCUUAGAGUAGAAAACCUUGAUAGAUGGUAUCUUGGCCAUGAAACGUAUAUGAGAAUCAUCAAUCCUGAGGAAAACGGUGCAACAGAGAUGGCUCCGCCAGAUAACGUUAGAUAUUGUGGUGCCCUUCAAAGCUUGCAGAAGUAUAUUAUGAAGACCUUUUAAUAUUAUAUAAUCUCUGUCCGUCUCUCUCUGUUGUUUGUGAUAUAUCUAAUGCUGUUUUUUGUUGCUUCAGGAACUCAACUCACUCCUCUGCAACAUCCAUUCUGGCUGGAAAAUCAGUGGUGUUUUCCUCCCUGCUGAUAGCACUCUGUUCCUCAUUCUUCAUUUUCGGGUAACCUGUUUCAGACAGUGUUUGCUUGUAUUGGCUAGUUCUAGGUGUAACAUUAACAGCUGAGUAUACUUGUAUUGCAUAGUUGGAUUAGAUUUGAAACUUUUUUUCUUUUCAUAGAAAAUUUUCAGGGUGUUAUGACAUUCAAUUUUUUAUUUAUUCUUUCUGUCUGUGGGGUUAUCUGCCCUUUUAAUUGUAAUUUAGGUCACUGAGGCUCCAAGCUACAUACUGAAUGGUGAUUAACCCUUUCUUUUGGUACCAUCUGACCAUUUACACAAGAAUUUUGUAUAAACAUCUUUAAUAAUAAUUGAUUUCUAAGAUCAUCAUUCCAUUAACUUUAUGGAAAUGACUGAUCA